Molecule: transfer RNA, 70 nt
Filed under: Pseudodiamesa sp. 2XL
Lineage: Eukaryota; Metazoa; Arthropoda; Insecta; Diptera; Chironomidae
Description: tRNA-Ser
Source: RNAcentral
AGUUAAUGAGCUUGAAUAAGCAUUUGUUUUGAAAGCAUAAUAUAGAAAUAAUUAAAUUUUCUAUUAACUU